Molecule: long non-coding RNA, 28657 nt
Organism: Meriones unguiculatus (Mongolian gerbil)
Lineage: Eukaryota; Metazoa; Chordata; Mammalia; Rodentia; Muridae
Exons: 5
Source: RefSeq, a predicted model, not a curated record
UGCUGCCACCUCAGUCCCAGAAUAACCGUAUGGGAACUAUGUUCAGCUAGUUUUCGGGACAUCGGUACACUGUGCAUGCGCAGAAUGAAUCCCCAACCCCCGAGGCAGGCUGCUGCUACUGAGGACUGGCUACAAGAUACCCCCCUCCCCCGCCAAAAAAAAAAAAAAAAAAAAAAAAAAACAACCCUACUUCCUUCCUUCCUUCCUUCUUUCCUUCCUUCCUGGGGUUGGACUUUUUUGGAGGGUUCCCCAGUGUAGGUAUCUCAACAGGAAAGGGUCUUAAAAGUUAGCAUGUUAGCGGGAAACCGUGGCGCACGCCUGUAAUCCCAACAUUCAGGGAGGCAGAGGCAGGAGGAUCUCUGUGAGUUCAAGGCCAGCCUGGUCUACAAAGUGGGUCCAGGACAGCCAAGGCAACACAGAGAAACCCUGUCUUGAAACAAACAAACAAAAAGUUAGUAGGUUUCGUGUGUAGUAGGUUUUGAUCUUCCAGGCAGCAACUUGAAUGGGCCUGAAGUUCUAGAAUGGAAUUCUAUGUAGCCUGGCUAAUCCCACAGCUCACAGAUAAGAGUCUCUGGCUGUAGUUCUGGAGACUGCCUUUACGAAGGUCAAAAGUGUACCCAGUCUCUAGCCAAUCUUGUGGCUGGAACACCUUCAGGGGCACCUUCAAAUACUAUAUUCUGUCCUGCCUGUGCCUUCCAAGAGUCCUUUCUCCAUUUUCUGGCUGGCUCCCUGAAAGUUGGGGCUAUGAAGAAGUGAGGAAAGAUUUGGAGCAAAAACAAAACAAAAAGUCAUUUGAGUUUGAGGAGGAAGUCUGUGAGGAUUCUUUUUGUUUAAAGGGGGGAACAAAACGCCCUUGCAUGUGCAGAGAUGGAUACCUGCUCGCUUAUCAGCUCUUUACUGUCUCCAGUGAUAGGGACACCUCAAGCCUAAAGUGGAGAUGCACAUUAAAGGUCACGAAGGGCCACCUGUUCUGCCUAUGUACUGUGUGGUACAUCAGGAUUUUAGUGGGUGCCAUUGUGUUCCCAGAACUGCUCCUAGUGCUAUAGACAGCCUAGGAGCCACGGCUACUCCCUUUGGGGCCCUUAGGUUCUGGUCACAUCAAUACCAAGGAGGACAUUUCCAGUAUGCUUUGCUUGACCUAUCAUGAUGGGGAAUUAUUAUUUUCUUUUGGAGCAGUUUCCUUCCAAUGAAAACAUCCCAUCCUGCAGGAAAGGUAUUAAAGACUCAGGAAGUAAACAACUAACAAGUCUCAGACGUUCCUGAAACUUACAAGGCCCCUUCCUCCCGAUAGAUGUAUGAACAGGAAGAGAGCCCAUGCUCUGAGCUACUGAGGUGCCAAUCUCCAGGGUGCCAGCUUUCAACCAAUGCUGGAACUUUUGGUGAUCAACAACUGUUUUCAAGUUGUCUCUGAUGCUGCUUCCAACACAGACCAAAGACCAGCAUCUCUUCAGGAAUCCACCAGGACUCCAGCACUAGGAGGGACUGCUUAGACAUCCAGUCUUGUCGAUUUAACAACUACCAGAUUCUUGGCAUUUUCACUGGGAAACUGCUGUUGCUGGAAUACCAGACCACAGCCUAUCUAGGAAAAAUGAUCACAGGAUGGGAUUGGUGACCUAUGAGAUCACAGUGAGAUGGAGCAAACCUGACAGUUUGUGGAUCUUCUUAACCUCUCCUCCAUGGAUGGAACCUUAGCUCAUGGACAUGAGCCAUCCAAGUUCUUUGCUGCAAGAUAAAGAUGCUGGCCUCUGUUUCCAGUGCAAUCCUCAUUUCCAACACAGAUCUCUUUAAUGUGGCCUUGACUGAAAAAGUUUCUUCCAUCUGCACCCUGAUUAGAAUCAGGGCCCCUGCUGAACCGUUGUUGGAUCAGAGGAAGACAAGAUGAAGCAAAGCUCUGUGAAGACUUCUAACUGGCCCAGGUAAAGGUUCUUGACUAGGAGGUUCCUGAUUAGGCAAGUGGAAGGUCCUAACUGUGUAGGUGGAAGGACUCACUGGUCCAUAGCCUCUGGCCUUUGCUUCUUUCUGGAUACUUCUGCCAGUGUCAGGCAGCUUCCUGGACUUAUCCUCUCCAGCUCUUGUCCCUGCCUGAGAUCUGGGAGCUGGGGUCAUCUGGCAGCACACAGAUCUUACCGCAGCCAUGAGGCCGUGGGCUUCCCUCACAGUGGCUAUGGUGCUCAGAGCAGCGCCCAGGCUCAAUAGCCCUGCUAGGCCGAUCCCCAUGUAGAAAACUGUGAGAAGAGAGAGGCAGAGGGUAAGGAAUCUAGCAAGGGAUCUGGGCAUGGAGGUUGGAUCUGAAAUCUACUCUGGGGGGUCACUGAGCUAGAAAUGAACUUCUGCAGAGUUCCCAAAAGGCACAUAUCUCUGGCCCCCCAAAACGGGGGCAUCCUAUGGUCCUUUUCUUUCUUCCCAAGUCUGGGAAGGUGGGGAGGAGAGCGGGGGCAAACUAGGGGGCCAUACUCUUUUCCCCCAUCUCUCCUGCCCUCCCUGCCUCACAGACUAUCUUUAAGCCACAUCCCCAUACUCUAGUGACAGGUGGCAGUGUGGGGCUGGCUGUGACCUUAUCAGUCUAGGCCCAGGCUUCAGGCUUCCUGCCUGGGAGAGGCCUAGUGCCUUGGAAGGCAGGGGGCCUAGGGACUGGGGCUGCCAACCCCCCAUUCUGGAGCCUCAUUUUCUCCCACUUUUCCUGGGUUGGUUACCUUCCUAGGUUCCUUGCAUUCCUACCAGGAACACCUCUUCAUCAAAGUGGCCUUGCUCUUGGGGAAGUGGGAUACCCUGGAGGGCAUGGCCCUAGCUGGGCAUUUUCUGCUCUCUGAAUAUGGUUUUCACUGUUGAGUCCCACAGGUCCAUCUGAGUCCAACCUUAGGGGAUCCCUACCCCGAAAGCACAGAUCUGGGGCCUGCUGCAGCUUGGACUCUCCUCUGUGGAGGAGAGUCAGGGUAGGAGUGUCUGCUGUCACCUAAACCUCCCCGCCUUUGUUAAUACAACCAGGACACUGGGUGUCCCUUCCCUACCCAGACCUCUGGCCUCUGCCCAAAGCCAGCUCCUCUGGACAGCCUAGGGCUGGGAGGUAAGGUCGGUUCCUCCAAGAUACUUUUGGCUCUAGAGCUUUCCCACCUCCACUCCACAGCCAUUUCUGGCUUCACUUACCCCAAUAGUGCAUUGCUUCAUAGGGGUUCUUCUCCAAGGGUACACGUCCAAUGACUGUAAAGUGGUCUCCGAAGUGAGUGACAACUGCCAUGGUGGCCGUAGAGAGGCCCAGCAGCUGAGAGUGAGGUGGGCUCAUCAUCAGAGCUUGGGAGUUGCAGAAGCCCUCCCACACCAACAGAGUGUAGGGCCUGGGAUUCUGGGGACCGGAGCCUGGCUCCCUCUAGCUUCCCAGGCGCACUGGAGCAAGGCAGCUGCAGGAGGCCUACUUGUUUCAGGGGGUGGGGGACAGGUCCUCUCAUCCACAGGACACCCCAUCACAUACACAGAUAAGUAAGCAACACACAUGCUUAUGCCCAUUUUCUCCUAGGACCAAGAAGCUCACACCAAAUUUGUCUGCAGAGGUGCUGCAGUCCCCAUUCUCUCCCUGGAUCCCAGGCAGCACCCCUUCCUGGCAGUCACUGCACCCUCUAAGUCACCCACCAACCUAGGUCCUCCCAGGCUCCUCACUGACCCUUGGGGUGACAGCUGCAUCUACAAAGACAUCAUGUACAGAUGUCCACAGUCCUCUGAGGGUGGCUACCAGGGACCCAGAACAGUCUGCAGGACUGCGGUGGUGGGGCAGAUGGGAAGGAGACUGCAAUGCUGGAGGCCUGGGCACGGUGAAUUACUCCCUCUGCUGCUCACCUACCCACCCGCUCCUUCUGCCCCACUUGCAUGUUACCAAGACCAAGAAGUUGGUGAUGAGUAUCUGGCAUUUGGCAAUCUUGAUUCGAUUCCAGUGCCCCAUGGAACUUGGCUCCUCUCCUCUCUUCUCUCUUCGCUUUCUUCUUCCUUUCCCCUCCCCUCCCCUCCCCUCUCCUCCCUUCUUGUCUACUCCCCUUUCUUCUGUGGUUCCCCACUGGGUGGGGACCUCAGACCACAGCUGACACAGUAGGUAGGCUGUGUCCUCCCAUCUGUCAACAGCCCUUGUAACCUAAUGGCUGGGUUGGGGGAAGGAAGAAGGGCAGGCAGGAAGGGGCCCAGCUUCUAUACCUACUGCUACCCUGGCCUGGCCCAAGACAACUGAGCUUUUGAAGGCAUAAGAGGCCUGGAGGUGGGCUGGGCCACACUGGGGAAGAGGGGUGGAGACUUGAGGGGAGCAGGAAGAGGAGGGCCCAAUGCCUGGCAUUUCUUAUAAGGGUGUAAUAACCUGCUACUAACCUGUAACUGCCCAGCUUCAUAAAAACAUCUAGUGUUUGGAUUAGACCAUGUGUCCCAAAGUCCUCCUGGGAUUAAUCCUCAAACAGGACUCCUAUAGGUGUUACCUGUGUCUCCUGACCUGAUGCCACUGGCCAAUUCAUAAUCAGUACAGAGGGGGAAGGUGUGAUAGAGUUAAGUCUCAGGACUGGGCAAACAGCCAUGGCACCUAUGUAGGAGUUUCAAGAUGGGGGCAGUUUAUGGGUAUUUGGCCCUUGGUGGGCUAGCCAUGUGUGAAAGCAAACAAACAAACCAACCAGCCAUGUUUCUUACAACCAGCGCCUGGGAGGCAGGUAAAUUAUACCAAGUUAGGGGAUAACACACAUAGUGAGACCCUGGCUCAAAAUAAAUAGGGUGGGGAGAUGGCUCAGUGGAAGCAUUUGCCCCGCAAGCAUAAGGGCCUGAGGUUGGAUUCCCCAGAACCUAUGUUAAAGAAGUCAGGCGUGACCGUGCAUGCUUGUAAUUCCAGCGCUGUGGAGGCAGAGACAAGAUGGUUCCUGAACUUACUGGCCAGCCAGCCUAGCUCUUCAGCAUCUCCCAGGCCUGUGAGAGACCCUGUCUCGUCAACAAAUUGAGUGGGCCCCUAGGAAAGGACACCUGAGGUUGACAUGCCUCUAUCCCAACCCCGCCCCAGGAACACACAAUGAUAAAGAACCCAGCUGAAAUGCUGUCGGCCACCUUUUGAAAAGGAAACAAGUGUUUGCUUACUUCAAAUAUUGAGGCCCCAUAGGAGGGCCUGUGCCUCGUGCCCAUAGUGCUUUCUGUUAAAACAUGUGUCUGCAAUAAUACAGAAUGACAUAAGCCACGGACCACGUGGUGCUGUGAAUUCAAAUACAUGUGUGCCAUGCGAAGUGGGCUUCGGAGGCCAUGGUGUGCCUGGCCAUAACAUGAGUGUCCGCCAUAAAACAUGGUUAAAUCUGGGCCUGUCACUCUAGCAAAGAGGGAAUGGCUCUUCUUUCACAUCCUUUAAUGUAGGGUUGUCCUGGCCAGGGGGCACCUUAGUAGGAAAAACAGGUAACUGUGGAAGUAACUCCUGGGCAUUCUAGAAGCCAGUGAAAUAGGGCUCUGUGCUGCCUACCAGUUUUGUGUUGGUGCUGGGAAGAUGACCAAGUGGCCACCCAUUCAGCAAGGCUGACGCUGGAGCCUUCUGCAGUCCCCUCUUUUCUCCUGCUUCCCAAGGGACUCUUCCAGAGCUCCGGGUGGCUCCUCUGCAGCACUCAUCUCCCAGAGUCCCUGACCUAAAGCUGUAGGGCAGGUGAGGUGGGACCGCUCAGGGUAGAAUCCAUGGCCCAGCGGGCAAGCAGCCCAAGCAAAGCCCAGGGGGUGACCAGUGUGCCAGGCCACCUGCAGCAGAGUCUUUAGCUUGCUCACCACCUGGUUUUGCUCACUUCUCCACUACCCUUCUCCACCUGCAUGGAAGAAAGAGCCAGGCAGCCUGCUGAGAUGGGCCCAAGAUGGGCCUGGAAUCACCUAGAAUCUCCUCCCCAAUUACUUUGUGCAAGGAGAAGAGAAUGGAGCCAGGUGCUUCGCUCAGGUUACCUCACUUUGUCUUCUCAAAAUGGUAGCAACCCCAGGCCUGUCCCUCCAACACCAGGUCUCACCACCUUCUCUUCCCUGAGCCUGCUAGCAGCACCAGGGAGCCAUGAGCUGCGGGACCACCUAGCAAGGUACCCUCCUGGAUGCCUUUGCCUUUCACCCUUCAGCUCUUGACACCCCUGUAGGAGGAAGUGGUAAGUGAAAGGAAGCUACUGGGUUUCCUAAGGCCUACCUCAGAGCACCCUGGGGUAUGACUCAUCCCAGUAGAGGGCAGUACUGUCCCUCUGAAGUCACGAAGGAACUCUAAAGAAAUGGCCCAGAUAUCUGAUUUGGCCCUCCCAUAGACCCUGUCCUGAGGCCAGGCCCAUUGCCGGCUUUCCAUUUCUCCAUGAUGCUGUGUGUGUGUGUGUGUGUGUGUGUGUGUGUGUGUGUACAUUUUUGUGUGUAUUUGUAUGUGUGCUGUGUAUGUUUGUAUAUAUCUGUGUGUGGUUUUGUACGUUAUAUGUUUGUGCUUCUUUGCAUGUGUGUUUCUGUUUAUGUAUAUAUGUUUGUAUGUUGUGUAUUUGUGUGUGUGUGUGUCUCUGCAUGUAGUAUAUGUCCCUGUGAGUAUUUGUGUGUAUCUGUAUGUCUGUCAUGCGUGUGUAUGUGUGUGUGCACAUGUACUCAGGACAGAGUACUUGCUGCUGGAAUACUACUUCCUACUUCCUUUCCCUCUCUCCUACAUCUAAUAAUGACUUAGUUGACGAAAAAUGGUUUUAUACUAAAGAGAUCAAAUGGCCAAAGCUGAAAUUUUUUUGAAUAAAAUUGUGUCAGAUUUCAAUUCACCAUAUUAAAAAAAAAAAGUUGGCCUGAGAGAUAACUCAGUGACAAAGGUAGCUGCCACCAAGCCUGACAACCUGAACUCAAUCCUGGGAGCCACACAGUAGAAAGAGGGGAGUUGUGCAGUUGUCCCUUGACAGUACCUCCAUACAUGUGCUGUGGCCCAGCCCAACCCCCAUAGUGACUUCAUUCCAAUGAAGGUAAAUGAUAGACAACUGUAUCAGUGAGUGAGAAAGAAGAGGACAAAUGUCCCAUUCAGAAAAACAUGAGAGAAACCAUGCUAAGGCCCCACCCUCCUGGAGAUGGGGCAGCGCUCACAGGCAGAGCCUCUUCCUUCCUGAGAAAAGGGAGAGGCUCUGUAUAGUGGAACUCAGCCAUGACACUCAGAGACAAGCCAAGUGGAUGCUGGGAACCUGUGGUGGUUGGUUAGGAGAAGGAUGUCUUCUUCCGUGACCCCAUCUAACAGAAAAAUGGGACAUUCCUCAGCUCAGGGCCCUGAAGGACCUGAGCAGCCCCCUCAGAACUCCAGAACUCAUGGUCACAUCAAGGACCAAGAAAAAUUGUUCUAUCACAGAAGAGCCUUCGGAGGCAGGAUGCAAGUCAUGUGGAUUCUGGAUGGGCCUUGGGGCCAUAAAAGAACAGGCAGGAACACAGGAGAUGGCUUAGUUCACAGCAAUACAUCAAUACUGGGUGACAGCUGCCCCUCACCAAUGUCACACGUUGCCGUGAAAUGGAUUUUGUUUCCUUGCCCAAAGUUCCCACCAUAUGUGUCCAACCUGUGGCCUGCUUGUGACCAAGGACAACUAGCUAUUCAUGUGGCUGAGCAUAAAAUUGUGAGUGUACUUAAUACAUUAUGAGACUUUUUUUCACAGUUGUGUGUGUGCGCUCAGACACAUGCGAAGGCCAAAGGUCAACAUUAAGUGUCUUCCUUGAUUACUCUCCAUCUCUAUUUAUUUAUUUAUUUUAGAUUUGUUUUUAUUUAUGUGUGUGGAUUUCUCUGAACACCAUAUAUGUGCAGAACCUGAAGAGAUCUGGAACUGGAGUUACAGUCAGCUCUGCACCUUCAUGAGCAUCCUAAGAACCAAGCCUGGGUCCUUGGGAAGAGCAGCCAGUACUCUUAACUGUUGAGCCACCUCUCCAGCCCUCACACCUAACUUUUAAGAUGAGUACUGGGAUCAAACUCAGGUUCUCAUUUUGCAUAAAUUACUUUAAUAACUGAGCCCUCUUUCCAGUCCCGUGGAGGUUUUUGUGUGUUUGGUUUGGGUUUUUUUAUUUUGUUGUUUGUCUUUGCAACUCAAUCAGGAGACUUCCACACACAAAUGUUGUAGGUGACAAUAUUGUGUCACGAUAUCACACCUAAAACCCCCUUAGAACCUCCAGAAUGACAGGAACAUCCUUCAUGAGGUGGCCAGUCCUGGGUAUCCACGUCACCUCAGGCUUGGGCUGUUCUCCAGGAAGUCCAAGAUAGGAUGGAAGGUUUGGGAAUCUCAGUCCUAACCCUUGCCCAGCUUCUAGGGAGAGUAGAGUAGCCGGAGGCUAGUGUUGGCUCAGCCUAACUGCACCUUAAAUCAGGUAAAGGACAGUGCAGGAGGAUCCAGGUAGCUGACCAAGGGAGGUGCCAGAGGGCAGUGGGCCAGAAGAGGGUAUGGAGGCACCACCUCCCAUGCUGCUUGUUCUUGAGGCACUCUGCUCUGGUAGCUGUGGUCACCCUUCAUCAUGGCCUUUAUAAUAGUGUAGGGGGCAGAUGUAAGCCAGCAUGCCUCUGAGUUCUGUGGGCUACACCAGUAAGUGAUUCAGGCACCUACAGAAGGCUGGGGUGUACACUCUUAUUGGGUAGAGCUUUCAGCUUCGGGAUCUGAUGCCAUCUCUGGUCAGGCUGUGCAGAGUUGGAUAGAAUCAGGGAACCCAGCCGGCUUGUGCUGGAGACACGCUUGGUGUGUGUGUAUGUGUGUGUGUGGGGGGGGUGUUGUCAUAGCUCUGUCUCAUGUUGAGAGUAUAGGAAGGCUACAGUUCUUUUUCCAGUGUGUCCUCCUAGCUGGAAAUAGAGCCUUCAAGGGGGGGGGGGCUUUGUUAACUCUAGCAUAACCCCAACAUUUCUAUAAACCCAAACAAUUCUAAAAAGCAGAUUUUUUUUUCCAAAGACUGUUUUUGUUGGUCCCCAGGUUGUCUUCACUGAGCCACGCCCUCUUGUAAGCCACACACUUUACUCCCCACCUCUCCUUCCCCUUGCUCCUCCUCCACCAGAGAGGGGAGAGGACAACACCUUCAUGUCCAUCCGUCCACCCAACACCUGCUUAUCCUCGCCCUCUCCCCCGGUGCAGGCGUUCAUUUGUCCAAUACUUCAUUUGUUCCUGUGUGGCUUUCACUUCACUGAUACCUCAGUUUACCUAUGCACAAUUGCCUCCAGGAACCCUGGUGAGAUAGAGGAACUCUGGCCUCUGAGCAGGCAGCUUGGAGGCUAUUACCCUGGGCCAGAACACCUGGAUGGAGGUGUGAUAGAAAAAGCCCCUGUCUGUUUCUUGGAGACAAGCAGAAUUGGAGCAGCCCAAAACGCGCCUGGCAUCUCAAGGUCUGGCAAGACAGGGUGGGUGUCACACAGCCCUUCCUACCCUGGGAGGCCAGCCUGUCUGUUACUUGGGAAACCCACAUCCUAGUUCCCUUCCUACCCCUGUCAUUGCCUGGAGAGUGAGGCUCCAAGCCUGAGGGGACUCUUGGGGGACCUGAACUGGGAAAGGCCUGAUGUUUGCCUUUGUCCCACUCUGAAAUUAUUCAAAAUAGUAAGAGUGAGAGGAGCUGCCUUCUACCCCUGACUGAGCCCAGAGGCCACUUGCUCUCCAGCUUUGGCAUCUGGCAGCUGAGCUUAUUCUUAUGGCCGCUCCAGUAGUGGGCAUCAAGACUAACCCUGCCCCACCCAUCCCUGUUCCUUCUGGCAGCAAGACCCUCCCCAUCAGUGGGGCCCAGCUUGCCCUGCAGGCUGCAGCUGCUCUCCCUGGGGGUGUCCAGGGUCUAUAACCUCCCUCCCAGGAUCCAGGGACACUUUAAGAAAGGCACGUCCCUCUACCUCCAUGUUGCCUCAUUCUUUAGAAAUGUGUCUGUCUAUCAUGUGUAGAUACAGCAGGAAGGGUCCUGCAGCAAAUCGGGGAGGUUGGUUAUCAAGUUGCAUGCUGGCCUCACAGUGUUACGGUUUGAAGUGAUGUGUCAUAUGGAAAGUUUACAAGGAGUUGAGCUUGGGAUAUAGUUUAGUGGUUGAGUGCUUGCCUAACAUGCUGGGCCCUAGGUUUGAUCCUCAUUGCUACAUAAACCGGAUGAUGGUGCAUUCCUCUAUUCUAGAACUUCUAGAGGGAGAGCAUCAGGAGCUCAAGGUUGUCCUUGGCUACAUAGGGAGAACCUGAUUGGAUCCAGAACAUUAGGGAGUAACUGAGGUACUCUCCUGGUGUUUCUUUGAAGGCAUUUCUUUUCCCUUUUCUUUUUUUUUUUUUUUUUUUUUGAGAGAGGGUCUUACUAUGCAGCCCCCACUGGCCUAGAACCGACUGGCCUGAGAGCUAGAAUUAAAGGCACUUGUCGUCACUCCUGGCAUGUGAGGGCAUUUCUAAAGAGGAUGGCAAGACUCAUCCUAAAUGUGGCCAGCACCAUUCCCUGAGCUGGGGCCUGGGAUAAAUAAAAAGAGAAAACCAAACAAGCACUGGCAUCCUGCCUUUUCUACUUCUUGGUCUGCAGAGAUGUGAGGUAGCAGCCUUGUCCUGCUGCCACAGCUGCAGGCCACUACUGCCAGGACUGUGUCUCCUUGAACUGUGAGCCACAAUAAGCCCCUCCUCCCUGAAGUUAUUGCUGUGGCAGGCACUCUGUCACAGCAAUGAGGAAAGACUAAUACACAUGCCCACCAAAGUCAUGCGUGCUCCUCUGUUGUGGUGGCCCAAGAUGACCAUAACUCCUCACCCCCACUUAGCCAGUCUUGUGCCUUCUUAUACCCAGGUUCUGUGGAGUAGAGAUCAGGUACCACUGGGCUGGCUCUGGUUGGCAGCAGUGAGUUGGAUAGUCACAGCCCAGAAGCUCUAGGUGUGUUGAAGGUAGCAGGGUAGAAGGGAUAAGGAGCUGAAAGACACAGAGGCUAUCAGCUCUGCCAUACCAGGCUUGAAGGGGCUGCCAGAACCAGGUUUAGGCAAUCAUAGCAGCUGUGGCACUGAAGGCCGGAGUCUUCCUAAGGGGUUACUCUGGGUACUCAGAAGUAGGGAAGAAUGUAUGAGUUGUCUCUACCUCUGGAAGGCCACAGGCAAAAACAAAGUGUAAUCCUGUCUCAGUCAAGGACCUAGUUCACACUAGGGCUUCAUGGUGACUUCAGCUAACCAUUGUUCUGGCUUAAGUCAAUGGGAGAUGAACUUCUGAUGUUUUGUUUCAUUUCACUAUUGACAUGGGGUCUUGGAAUAUAGCCCUGGCCAGGUUGGAAUUCCAUAUGCAGCUCAGGCUGGCUUUGAAUGCGUCAUCUGUGCCUCAGCCUCCCAAGUGCUGGGUUUUACAGGCAUAUACAGCCAGGUUCAGCCAGAUUCUGGUAUUUCAGACACCACGUUCAGGACUGAGGCAGAUAAAAGAGGGAUAGCCAGUCAGGGUGGGUGUUGGGCUGGGAGAACUGAGACCUUCUUGGAAGACUUAUAAGAGGAGCCUUUGCCAGGGCAUGCUGGGAACCCCUGGCCUGUUGUUAUUAUGGCGUCUGUGGGGCCAGUGGUUAGAGUAGCCUAGCCUGUAAAUAUCUGCACCUGGCCAGCUGGUUGUGACAUCUCCAAGACUGAAGAGCUGGCACUGAAGUCUCAGCUGACAGAACCUGUAAGGAGCUUCAGGCCCAGUCCACUGACAGCACUCACGUAAGGCCUGACUCUCUCAAGGCCCAGUUCACCAUCACAGACUGAGGAAGGGUUCUGCUCUGCCUUCCAAUCUCAAAUUGUUCCUCUUUCUCCAAACCUCCCCAAAAGGACCUGCAGCCACUCACCUGGUGCCUUUGCUUUGGAAAAGAGAAAUAGUUAGACUUUGGGGGCAUUUCUGGACCAUUUCUUGGUACUCACUACACCUGGAGACAGAGGCACAUCGAUAUCUAAUGGCUGUAGUAUGGCCUGGCAGGGUCAGGUGACCUAUGGAACUUCAGCUUGGAUCUGACUCUCAGUGGCCAGUGGGUCCUCAAGACCAUCCCGUGGUCAUUUCCCAGCCCCAGGUCCAGCAGCUGGAACAGAAGGCAUAGCUACUCCUAGAGUCUCAUGAAAACCAAGUUUUAUGGUGAGAGAGACCAUUGGAAGUCUCUAGAAACCCUCUCCACUGAGAGCACAUAAACCGAAGCCACCAAAGGGAAGAUUGUAGGGUAGUGAGUCCACCAUCAAAGACGUGAAAUGGGUAACCUCGGGUGGUGGUUAACCUCAGGAUGAUGGGUAACUUCAGCUAUUAUUGGCCGUAGCUGCUGGUCAAAGUAUUGAGAAUGCUGGAACAAGUCAAAACACACCACCAGACCUGGUAGACACCUACUAGGCUGGUGGAAUAUUUCUCCUUCCCUCCAUCCAUCCAUCCAUCCCUUCCUCCCUCCCCCCCCUUUCUCCCUCUUUCUUUCUCUUUUCUCUCUCUUUCUUUGUAGUGUGUAUAUGUAUGUAUGUGUCUGUGUUUCUGUAUGUGUACCUGUGUGUGCACAUGUGGAGGCCAUCUUUUGCCAUUGUGCUCCACCUUACCUAUUUUUAGAUAGGAGCUCGCACUGAAACUGGAGCUCACUGAUUGGCUAGGCUGGCCAGCCAGUGAGCUCCAGGGAUCUUCUUGUUUCCAUCUCUGAUUUCAGGCCCCAACUGCUGGGCCUGGCGUUUUACAUGGAGGCUGAGGAUCAAAUUCAAUUUCUCUAGCUUGUGCAGUGAACAUUUUACCAACUAAGCCAUCUCCCUACCCCAGUGUCCUGGUUUCCUUUUCUAUAGCGCUGAUAGAAUACUGCAACAAAAGUAAGUUAUGGGGAGGCUUAUUUGGCUCUCAGUUCCAGAUUACAGUCCAUUAUUGUGGGGGAAAUCAAAGUGGUGGGAACUUAAAGCAGUUGGUCACAUCAUAUCCACAGAUAAGAGCAGAGAGCAGUGAUAAUGCAUGCGGAGAGCUCAGGAACUCACUAUGUAGCUCAGGCUACAAUUUUCUCCUUCAGCUAAGCCUCCCUUUCCAGAGUUCUCACCUCCAAGAAGAGCACGACCCACUGGGGUCUAAGUGUUCAACACGUGGGCGAGUGGUGGGAUUUCACACAUAACCCACAGCAUUGGCAUGCUGUCUUUCUGCACUGGCUUUGCCAUCUUGCAUUCAGUGAUGUGAUGUCCUGUGGCUCCAGGUCCCCACAGUAUCCGGUUUGUCAGUGUUCCUGACUUUGGCCAUUCUCUUGGGCAGUAAUGUUUGUUUGAAUGGCAGUUGAGAAUCUGUUCAUCUGACACCCACAGGUCUCCUUUGAUGAUGUGUCUACAUCUUUUCCAUGAUUUUUUUUAUUAUUUAAGAGUUCUUUGUACAUUUGUGAUAGGAGUAUCCAAUGCCCUUUUCUGGCCUCCCAUAGGCACCAGGCAUACACGUGGCACACAUAUAUGCGUACAUAUAAAACACUCAUACAUAAAGGUCAAUAAAUCUUUCAAAAGGUUUUUACAAAGGUGUUUUCUCAGUCUGUGGCUUGUCUUUUUACCGCCUUGUCUUCCUCUUCUCUUAAAAAUACUCAUUUGUGUAUAUAUCUGUGUGAGUAUAUACAUACUUGUGUGUUUAUGUAAACACAUUGAUGCAUAGAUGCAGAGACCAGAAGAGGGCAUUAGGUGUCUUUAAAUAUCUCUCUUCACCUAUUCCUUUGAAGCAGGGUCUCUCUCUGAACCUGGGGUUUGUUUUCUCAAUUAGGUUGGAAAGCAAUAAGUCUCAGUGGUCCUCCUGCCUCUGAUCUCCUCAGAGCUGGGGUCACAGGUAUACACAGAAUUCCCAGGUUACCAUGUGGAUGCUGGGAUCUAAACUAUGUUCUUCAUGAUUGCACACAGCAAGUCCUCUUCAUAGCUGAGCCAUCUCUCCAGCUUCCCCACACCCCAGUCUCUUUGAUAAAGGUCUCAUAUAGCCCAGGCUGGCCUUGAAUUCACUAUGUCCCAGAGAAUGACCUUGGAUUUCUCCUAUCACCAUCUUCCAAAUGCUAAGAUCACAGGAGUACAUUCUCACACCUAGUUUUUUUUCUUUCUCCUAGCAGCAUUUCUGCAAAGCAGAUGUGUAGUGUAGAAAUGCCUCCCACAAGCUCAUGUAUUUGAACACCUAGUUCCGACCUAGGGCAUUGUUUUAGGAGGCUGCAGAAAGUUUAGGAGGUAGUUCCACACUACAGGAAGUAGGACACUAUGGGGUAGACAUGGAGGGUUCUAGCAUGGCUUCACUUUCUAACCUGUCUCUGCUUCCUGAUCCACAGAGAUGUGAGCAGGCUGUCUAGUGUCCCUGCUGCUUCAGUUAUGGGAUGCGCCCACUGCCAUGAUGGACUGGGAGCCCAAACGAAUCGGUCCUUCCUGCAGUUGUUUCCAUCAGGUAUAUUGUCACAGUAACAGGUGAGGUGACUGAUACGAUAGGUUUUCAAUUUUAAUAAAGUGUAAUCUCUUCAUUAUUGAUCUGGGGAGUGUGCCUGCUCUUUUCAGCAAGCAAGGAACACACAAUUCUUAGGUGUUCCCACCUAAUGCUUGGGAAUACCUUGUCACCCUUCAGGUUUUGAGUAUGCCUGGGAUCUUGAUCGACUUCUCUUCCUGUGGGCAUCAUGGUGCUUUGAUGCUCCAUUGACACAGCUGUGCUUACUGGGCUGUCUGAGCAGGAAGCUGUAGGCAUCUGUCCUAGUUCUAUUUAUGUGCCUGUGAUUGAGUAGCCUGACAAAAGCAGGGAGGACAGGGGUUAUUUCAGCUGACAAUUUAAGGUUACAGUCCAUGAUUGUGUGGAAGUCAAGGCAAGAACUUCAACAACGAGUCGUAUCACACAGCCAAGAGCAGAGAAAAAUGAAUGCAUGCAUACUUGCUUGCUUGCACUCAGCUGUAUGUCUCUAUUACUCUAUAGUUCAGAAGCCCCUAUUAUAAGGAAUUGUUCUGCCCAUGGUGGGCUGGGUGUUCCACACUUUACUUAAUUAAGACAGUCUCCUACAGAUAUGCCCACAAGUGAAUCCAAAGUAAUGGAAUCCCUCACUGAGCCUCUCUUCCCAGAUGACAACUCCAGGCUGUGUCAAAAGCUUUGACAUUUAAAGCUUACCUUCAUGAUAUCUAAAGGCAACUUGACCACGUGGUGUGUUUGAAGGUCAGGUGAUCAAAUCCCACAUGAUUUUGGGGAGGUUUCUGUCUUGAUGAUAUUGCUAGUGUGCAAUAGACUGGGUCAAGUGGAGACCUACACAUGGCCCUUCCUAAUGUCUAAGAUACAGCAGAGUGGCUCUCUUUGGAUUUUGCAGUCAGCAGAUUUAUGAUACCAAGUGACCCAUAGAGGUGUCACUUUUCAGUGAGGCCCAGACAAGAGGAGGCUCUGCAACAGGCCCAGGCUAUGGUGCAAACUUCUUCGCUGCAUGCAGCAGAUCCACGAUGUGCAAGGUGCUUGUGGGAGGUAGGAAGUUCUGUGGGGGCUGUUCGGGCUCCUGCAGGGACUUCACAGUCCACCACGCUUGGGUCUGUGGAGCUGAGCUCUGCCAUCCUCUGUGGAUACUUCUUCAGAUCUUGGCUUGCCUCCAGGCUCCAUAGGGCAUGUGGCCAUGUGACACCAACUGACCACAUGACCUGAACUGUCCAUUAUAAAGGAGCCAUUGAGUGACCCAUGAUGUGGUGGGGGUGGGGAAACGUGUAUGGACUGAUAACUAACAGCUCUAUGUUAGUUACUCUACUCAUUCAUUGGACAAAAUAUUUGACAAAGCAACUUAAGGAAGGAAGGGUUGUUGUGGGUCACUGAAGGUGUAGUCCAUCAAGAUGAGGAAGAUAUUGUGGCGGGAGCAUGGGACAGCUAGCACCACUGUAUUCAUAAUUAGGAAACAGAGCAAGAUGGACUCUGGUGCUCAGCUUGCUUGCUUUUUAUUCAUUUGGAUACUCCAGCCCAAUGGAUGGUUCUGCCCAUAUUUAGAGUGAGUCAAUUAACUUAAUCUAGACAAUCCUUUACAGACAUACCCUAGAUAGGGGUUGUUUCCAUGGUGAUUCUAAAUUCCAUUGGAUUGGUGAUCAAGAAUGAUCAUUGCAUACGUCAAAGCUCCAGCAAAUUUUGUGAAGAGCUCCCAUGAUGCGUGUAGCUUCUUCCUGUUUCCUUCCUACUUCCUCCUGACAGCACCUGUACUUCUUGUGUAAUUUCCCAUUACCUGGUCACUGAGAAAGAAAAAAGUCUUGGCUCAUCUUCAAAUAGCUUUCCAUGACAUGUCAGCGUAAUCCCAAAGUGGGUGACCUGCAGCCUCCUGUGAGAAAUGGAAGGAAGGAAACACCCAAGUAGGCAGGUCUUGGAACGGUCACCCUGACUGCUGUACUUGACCUGGAAGGAGAGAUCAGGGUUACAGGCUCUACCAUUUGGUGGCAAAUAGGUCAUGAUGGUCAGAGAAUUGGAAGAAAAAAAAAGCAUUUGAAAAGAAAAAGUGGUAACAGGAGGUUAGAGGAAGGGGUUAUACCUCUCCUACUGUGCGUAGCACACGGUGUGGAGAGACUUAUGUCCUAUAUGGAUGUUGGCCACAGAAAUAAACCCCUGGGCUGAAGGGAACUCCAUGGUAGAUGAGAUGACCUCAUCAGUGGCCACCAGCCAGCCUUUAUCCUAGGCAUCCCUGUCAUUGCCAAAAGGGUUUGAGAAGGGUAUGCCCUGGAGAUCAUAUGUGGACAGUACUUGGGUGUCCAUUCAUUAAGGUUCAUCUGCUCAGUUUCCUGCUUGGCACUCACUGCUAGAUGAUGUUGGAGUACCAUCAUCAUGAGAGAGAUCCCUCUGCUGUCACUGACACCGAAGCAUACUUGAAUGUGAGCUGGCCUUCCUGAUCCAGGAGGGUCCUGGACUUCAUAGUAUGCCUGACUCCCUGCUGUGUAUCUCAUGGUUUCCUCCUCAUACAGGCAGGGGCAUAAGGCAGAGAGUUCAAGCUCAGAGAAUCACUAUCCUUAAUACUCUCUGUCACUCUGGCCCAAGGAAAGAAGACUGGCUCAUUUUCUGCACUCUGAGGAACUGGAACAAUGUCCUCUGAACCCAUCUAUGCAGCUGUGUUCCCGUAGCCACUGCUCAUAGUCCUGGGAACACAGAUGUUAACACAUCAAUGGUUUCUUGUCCACUAGAAAUCCACCAGUGACUGGCAGAUUGAACCCAGGGCUUUUUGCACACCUCAGGUAAGCACCCUACCCUCCAAGUUCUAUCCCGUUCCUCUGCCAGUAACAUUUAUCUUCCUGAUUCCACUACUCUACAAUCUCUUGGUCAAGACAUCCACCACAAGUACUACACUGACUCUCCCAGUACCCUGGAGGUUGAGGUGACCACCAGUCCAUUUUGAGAGAAUCACCAGGCUGCAAAGUGGCUGCAGGUUGGUACAACUGCCCUGGCUAGGAGAAACAGGCCAUGGUUUCACAACAGAAUGUCUAGAACGUAGAUGAUGCCCUGCAGCUCUGGUUGAUGAUUAACAUCAGUGGAAAGACUCUACUGCCCAAUCCAGGCAGGACUGCCGAGGGCCCAGACCCUUCGGGAAUGAAGGCUUAGGUCAUCCAUCAGGUAAAGGGCCACAAUCAGCUGAAGCACUCACUGGAGCACAGAGACGUGCAGGAAGAUGGUUAUAAAUACCAGCCGGGCCAUGUGACCGGCUGCAGCCCUGAGCCUGUGAGGGUUACGGAAUCCUUCCUUACGCUGUGAGCAAAUAUGACUGAUUCUUCCUUCCCCUUGUCCAGACCCUGCACCUAGUAUUUAUGAGUUCCUCACUGCUAAGUCUCUCUCUCAGGAUUUGCUGUUCCUGGCUGCAGCUCGGCUACAAGGGGAUUGGAUACCCCAGGAGCACUGGACGCAGGACCUCCCCUGUCUGUGGGCAUCUGUCUGGCCGUGCAGUCCCAGCUGCCUGUUAGGUGAAAGUGGAACUUUACUUUGUUUCAAUAAGAGGUCUCACCAAAGGGUUUCAUUUCUGUGAGAAGCUCAAAACAGAUCCUUAGAGACAGAAAGCGGCUUCCUGGUGCUGGGGAAGAAAUAAAGGGAAGAGUGGGUGCUACCAGUGGCAGGGAGGUGGGGUCCAGUGUGGUAGGCACGCUCUAACAUCAGGUAGCAGUGAUGGUCUGGUGGGGUGACUGAAAACCACAGAACUGUGUGUUUGCUGAGAGUGAAUCAGAACCUGUGUUAAUCAGACGCAAUGAACUUGCUUUUGUUUUCAAAAAGAAGUUGUCUGUGGAUGCCACGAUUUCACCUUCACUGCACUGAAGGUGGCAGCCAUGGGUGUAGAGCUGAAGAGCAACUGUCUUCUUUACGCCUCACGUAUGACUCUGCCUGCCUAGAGCUUCUCCCUGAAGUCUUGGCUUCUGGCCUCUUCCACACUUACUCAUCCAUCCUCCCACUCCCCUCACCUAAUGUAUCCACGGAACAGGUAGUAUGACCAUCUUACGCUGGCACUGGCGGCCAGCAUGGUGACCUUGCCCAGACUCUAUUUCCAUUCCCCAAUUAGUGCUGUAGAUUCUACCUUUAAACGGGGGAGGAAAAGCCAGAACCAAACAAAUACUAAAGACGGUGUUGGGGUGUGUGUGGGUGUGGGUGUGGGUGUGGGUGAGCUACAUACAUGUGUAUGUGCAUGUACAUUCGUGCAGGCAUUUGGAGAUGACAUGUAUGCUCUUAUACAUAUGUGCAUGUUUUCUUGUGUAUGUCCCCAGGCACAUGUAUAUUUAUAUAUCUGUGUGAAAACCUGUCUGCAUGUGUGUGUCUGGGUAUGUGUGUAUAUUAUGAUACGUACACGUGUCUUUUUCAUGUGUGCGUGUGGGGGGGAAGGCAGGGCCCAUGUGUGUAUGUACUAAACUGUCCUUGUCUUGCGCUGUGUCGCGCAUGGUGUGCGCACAUGGAUGCGGUGAUGCAUGGCCAGAGGCAGUGAUAGGGGCCAGCAGGUGGAGGAAGCCUCACCACCCACAUGGCCCCACCAGCAGCUUUGUAGUCACGUUAGCUCCUGCACCACAGGAGUCUGCAGCAGGACAAACUGGAAACUCCAAAUGUCACCUGGCAGAGGAUCCGGGUAGAAUAAGUGACAUAUCCCACAAGCCAGCCCCCUGGCCAUGCUUCCUCUAGACUCCUCUAAUCCUGGAAUCAGCACCUGGGCAGAUAAGGCCUCUGCAGGUUCAUUUGUUUUAGUCCACAAAAUAAAACUGAGGCUAGACCGAAUGGCAGGGAGAAAAUGACGACGCACUUAUUAAGAUGCAGAAGCACGAGGGUCGCGAACAUACAAUGGAGUCGCGUACAUACAGUGGAGACGUAGAGGCUACAGACUACAGUUCUCGGCCUCCAGGUUGCAGCCCCUUUGGAGAUUGCCUAUCAGAUACCCCGAACAUUAGAUAUUUAUGUUGUAACCUCUAACUGCAAGAAAAUAAGUUUCUGGUUGGGAGUCACUGCAACGUGCGAAAGUGCGUUAAAGCGUCACCGCACUAGGGAGGCUGAGAGCCACCAGCGCAGACAGAUCACGUUAGUCUGCUUUCUGAUGCUGUAACAAGAUACCCAGGGCUGGUGUUUUAUAAUAGAAACGGGCUUAUUUAGAUUAUUUAGACUGUCUCGCUAGUAUAGACAUGAGGCUUUUGGCUUUUUUUCAGCUGCCGUUUCACGUCUUUCUCUUGCUCCUUCAAUGAUCUAAUCAGCUCCGGUGGAUUUAAAUGUCACAGAAUGCCAAGGGCUCUCCGGUUUCCCCACUGGAAUUUCAGUGGCUACUUCCUAUUUUCUCACAGUCAACUCCCGGAAGUCCAGUGUGUACUGGCUGUGUCACAUCUUCUGAAUGCAGAAGAGCACCCACAGCAGGACUUGGGGCACGCUCCCAUUCUUCACAGCCACAUACAGGAGCCCCGAGUUCGAGCCUAGCAUCAAUGCUUCUGAGGCGGGUGCCUCCAGUGAGAGAACCCUUUGCAAGGUUUCACUACCUCAGCCCUGCCACUCUGGGGACUGAACUUGCAGACCACAAACAUAUGGGGACUCACUCAGAUCACCUCCAAACCGUAGCUCACAGGAAGCAGGCUCAGGAACCUGGAGAUGGGUCAUGUCCCAUUAAGGGGUGAGUCAUAUACAAAUGAGCCCCUGGGUAAUAGUCACUUGUGUUGACCUCAGUCUAGGACAAGUAUCAAACCCUGUCUUGGCCAUUUUUCCUUACUACAUCCAAACUUCUGAAGGCGGGGAGAGAGUGAAGAAAAGAGAUUUGUAUAGGUUCAGGGGCAUGACAGUUGCAUCAGCUUGGCUUCGGCGACAACGUUGUGAUGAUGGCAUAUGUCUUAAGUGUAUGUCUGUGGGUGCAUACAGAGGUUGGAGGUCAGCCCCUGCUAUCUUUUCCCAGGAACCAGUCACCUUGUGUUUGGAGACAGGGUAUCUCACUGCAACCCAGAAGUUGAAGAUAAGACCAGAUUGUCUGGUCAGUGAGCCCUAGGGCUCCACCUGUCUCCCCGGCACGAAAAUUACAAGACAGACGCUGUGCCUGGUUUUCUCUGUGAGCAUCAGAUAGAGAACUCAGGUCUUUACGCUUGUGGGGCAAGUGCUUUACCUGAUCUAGCUCAUUUUGGUUUUGGCUUUUGUUGUUUGGUUGUUGUUGUUUUUGCUUUGUUUUUUUGUUUGUUUGUUUGUUUGUUUUGGUUGUUGUUUUGCAAUAAUCUUCUUUGAGGAAGGUCGGGGUCCUUGGGGAAUUAUUUAAUCCCUCUCAAGAACAUUGUUCCCAGAGACCCAGUCGCCCUAGCUUGGACUCUCAAAGGGCCCAGGACCUCUGACAGAGCCAAGCUGAAGUCAAAACCUCUAACACAGAAACUUUUGAGGGAGUUCAAGCUACACUUAAGCCAUAGAACCCCAAUUCCCCCCUUCUAUGAAAGGCUCUGAUUGGGGAUCAAGGAGUCAGCCGAGCUGCUGAAGGGCAAGGCUCAUUUGACCUCAGGGCUUGAGACAUCUGGGGACUCUCCCUUUGUUAUGAUCUGUGUUGUAGCUUUGUGGUGACACAGUUUUCGUCUGGGGAUCAAUGUUCUGCCAGUGUAUCAAAGUCCUCUGCUGGGGCUGCACUGUUACUGUCUCUCUUUCCUUCCUCUCUUCUCUCCCCUUCCCAUUCCUUGCUUCCUCUCUUCACUCCUUACCUGUCUUUGUCCCUCCUCUUUUCUCCCUUCCCUCUCCACUCUUUGCCAAUCUCCUUCCUCCCCCAUCUGUUUGUCUCUUUCCCUCCUCUCUUCCUCUCCCUUCUUUCUUUCUGCUCUGGUUUCUCCUUUUCUCGUUCUUCCUCUCCCUUCUUGUCUCUGCUUUCCUCUCCUUUUCUUUCCCCUCUUCCUGCUAACUCUUCACCCUUCCUCCUGUCCCUCCCCUCUUCCCUUUUCCUCCCCUCUUCCAGUUCUUCCUCUUCCCUUUCCCCCCAGGGAUCUUCCACUUCAGGAACCCUCCGCUCAAGGGAGCCUCUCAGGUCCCUGGUUGCUUCGGGCCUCACUGGCUUCCUGCUGCCGAUGCCGGGAGGCUGUUGCUCCACCUGGGUGACAUCACAUCCUGUUUUCAGGUCCUGGAAGUGGACAGGCACAUGUGGUCUGCUCCGUUAGUCCCUCUCCAAAAAGGAAGCACUGGCAAGACUGACUGAGUACUGGAUAAAAGUUGUAGCUGGGAGGUUUCUGCAGUGUGGUGGUACAUUUUCGCUUGAAGUCCACCCACCACGGGGAAGCUAAAGCCACAUAACAACAGCCCCAUUACAACCGCCUUUUCAUCCACUUGGGCCAACUUCAUCAUUAUGGUAUUGCUAAGUCACGGCUUUCUAAUCCCACCCCUCCCUGUGCAUUUAUUAUUUGACAUUCUGAUUCAAAACAAACAAAAAACGAACCACCCCCAGUCUUUUCUUCUCCACAACAAAGUAAGUAAUAAACUACCCUUACAAUGGACCCACUGCCGACUUUUGCAAUCUGUCACCAUCUUUUACCCUGCUGCUAAUGACAAUGGGUGUCACCAGUGCGGCCAACAGGUGCUGUCCCUUGAAGCUCGUUCUUUGUCACAUUGACAAAUGCAUGGCACCUUACUGAGUUACUUUCUGACAUGAGAUAGUCAUCUCAGGUGUUUCUUGCCUGGUGGUGGAAUUGUCAUCACUCUAAGAAACUUUUCCUUUUAUCAGAAAAUGGUCCUUUUAGGGGAUAGUGAGAUGGUUCAGCAUAUCAAGGGGACUACCACUAGUCCUGGUGACCUGAGAUCAACCCCUGGAAGCCACAAGUGGAAAAAGAGAAGUGAAUCCUGAAAAUUGUCCUCUGAUUUCUACACACGCACAUACCAGAAAAAAAACAUUUUUAAAGGUAAUAUUUGGGUUUUAAGGUGUAAUGUUGGACAACAAAAGCCUAGGCUUUCCCACUGAGGACUGCUAAACUGUCUCCAUCAUCAUGUACAUGUUUGCAUCUGUCUCCAGCUAAAUGCUGGCUGAGCCUAAGAUUAAAAAAAAAAAAAAAAAAGGCAAGUUAAUUCUGAGUUCUCGAUUCUGGCCCCUUCCCUGAUGAGUGUCCCAAACCCUACCCUGCCAUGCUGGUCAUUUGUCUCUGUGACAAGACAUGGGACUCCCCUCAUCCCUAACGUGCCAAGCCAGGUCCCUAUUCUUGUGACAGUCUUCUGACCAUGCUGUGGGUACUUGUCCCUGACCAUAUCCUGGGUUCCAGCAGACUCUAGCUUCUUCUCAGCCUUGAGCCCCAGCCCUGUUCCCUGUGUCCACAGUUCUCCAGCCUUUAGUCAGCUUCUAAGAAAAGAAAGAGAAAGGGAGAAAAGCAAUGAGUGUGUGAGUGUGUUGUAACUAAAGGAAGAAAAAAUGUGAGAGAUGAUGAACCCCAGCUCCCAAACCCUAGCCAGGAAGACCUGGGUCCUGGUUUGUUUCUUAUACUUGACCAGACAGAGUGUUCCAAGUUCACCAGGGACCUGAGCGCCUAGCUCCCUGACUAAGAAAGGGAGCAGUGUCUGACCCACACACUAUGAGGUAGGAGCAUUGACAGGGAUGGGGCCGUGAGGUAGUCCCAGUGGAGUCUCAGUGGGGAAGGCCAGCAACAGCGGGCAAAGCAGCAUUAAGAUGGCCAUGAAAGAAGCCAAGGGGAUCUGGUUGUAGAGAAGAUGGCCAAACUGACAAACUGAUGAGUUGGACAGACAGUGCGGGUACGGUGAAGGCAUGUGUGAGGAGGAGGCAUCAGAUGGCGUUAUUCUAGAGCAGUAGUUCUCAACCUUCCUAAUGCCAGGACCCUUUCAUACAGUUCCGCAUGUUGCUAUCCAACCAUAGAAUGAUUUUGUUGCUACUUCAUAACUACAAUUUUGCUGCUGUUAGGAGUCGUAAUGUAAAUACCUGAUAUACAACCCACAGGUUGAGAACACAGUUCUAGAAAGCUCAGGGGGAAUAUAGGAUGGAAGCUGGCACUGGGACGUGAGAGAGAAAGGCAGGCCGGGUGUGGGAGCUCACAGAAGGAAAGGGAGACUGGCAGGAAGGAGAGGCCUAGAGAAAUCAGAGACCUAGAAUUCAGGCAGCUCAGGAAAGUACCCUCGGGAGGACAAGAGAGGACACACGUUAGGGUUCUACAGUGUCACAGUUCUAAACUGGUCCGAGCACAUAGACCCUACGUCUUGAGAAUAAUGCCGUGAGCCAGUGAGGAGGCUCAGCGGGUAAAGGUGCUUGUUGCUGAACAUAUCAACCUGAGCUUGAUCCCUGGGACCCCUAUGAUGGGAGGAGAGAACCAACUCUUGCAAGCUGUCCUCUAAUCUCCACAUGGGUGUCAUGGCGUCCGUCCACCUCUCUCCAUACACAAUGCUAGAUGUGAGAACUCACACUCACACGAUGCUAGAUGUGAGAAAAGUAAGUUCUAUAGCGCUGAAGAGAAAUGGCUUUGGACAUGUGUGUGUGUGUGUGUGUGUGUGUGUGUGUGUGUGUGUAGUAAGAGGUGCAUGCCUGCUGCGACACUGUGUGUGUGUAUCUGCAUUUGUGAAGGCCAGAAGUCCAUGGGUUUUUCUUUGAUGGUUUUCCUCUUCAUUGAUUUGAAAUGAGGUCUCUCACUGAACUUGGAAUUCACCAUCAGGCUAGGCUGCUGGCCAGUAAGCCCCAAGGAUCCUCCUGUUUUGGCCUCCCCGGAACUGGGAUUGCAGGUGUACACCACCAUACCUGGCUUGUACGUGGGUGCUGGGCAUAGAACUCAGCUCCUCGUGCUUGUGCAAGCAUUUUACUUUCUAGGCAACCUCCCCAGCCCAGACAUGGGGUUUUAUAGGCUGUAACUAUGAUUUAAAUGCAGGUAGGGUAAACCUAAGUUCAGGCACACUUGGCUAAGGUGUGCUACACAUACGUGCUUCAGAAAGAGCCACUUUACCAACCCUUUGAAAGAUGUACUCAAACAACCGGAGAAGGAAGUCCUGGAGGGUGAUGGAGACCUCAAAGGAGGAAACCUGGGGAAGAUGCCAUUCACAGUACAAUGAGCCUGGAAGUUUCUAGAAAUCAAGUUCUUCUUUUUUCUUUAAAAAAGUGUUUACUGUAUUUUAUGCUAAUGAGUGUUUUGUCUGUACACCAUGUAUGUGCAGUGCCCUUGGAGGCCAGAAGAGGGGUUCGAGCCCCUGGAACUGGAAUUACAGACGGCGGUGAGCUACCAGUUAAGUGCUGGGAACCAAACUCUGGUCCUCUGGAAGAGCAGCCAGUGCUCCUAUGCUGGGCGGUCUCUCUAGCCCCAGUCAAGUUCAUUUUUAAAUGUCAAACCGAUUUUGCAUUUCAGGGACAAACCUCACUGUGUAGGUUGGUUUGGAUUGGCUAAGUUUUCUUUUAGAAUUCUUACAUCCACAUCCAUGAGGAACAAAAGACUGUGGUUCAUCUGGGUUUGGCAUGUGAGCAAUGCUGGCUUUAUAGAGGAAGCUUGGAAGGUUGCGUCCUUUUCAAGGUUUUCUGGAUAAGUUUUUUAUAGAUUGGUUUUAUUAGUGGAAUGCAUUGAUGUGGCCACACAGACCAGGAGGUUCUUUGUUUUUGUCUUUGUUUUUUGUUUGUUUGUUUUUCCCCAAAGGUUUUACCUUUGUAAAACUGUCCUACUUUGCUUUCUGUUGCUGUGAUAAGCAGCAUGACCAAAAGCAACUUGGGGAGGAAAGGGCUUAUUUCAUUUAACAGUUUAUAGUCCAUCAUGGAGAGAAGUCAGGUCAGAAUUCAAGGUAGGAAACUGGAAGCAGGGACUGGAGUAGAGGUCAGGGAGGAACGCUGCUUACUGGCUCGCUCCUUAUGGUUCACUCAACCUGCUUUCUUUUCUUUUUCUUUCCUUUUUUUAAAGUUAGAUGGUGGAUAUAUUGUUUUAUUUUGUGGAUACAUGGGAAUUUUCACAAGAAAAAAAUAGAAAAGAAACACAGAGAGAGGAGCUGAGCAUACUUACUUUUAGCCAAAUAGGAUGGGAGGAUGAUGGUUAAAAGAGCCACACUCUUGUCUUCUUUAUUUUUUAAUUGAUUAAUUUAUUUAUUCAGUUUGCAUCCUGAUAAUAGUCCCUCCCCCUCCUCUAUUCCUCAGAAAUGGGGAUUUCUCUCCCUACCCCCACUAACCCACCCCAGCUCAUCAAGUCAAAUCAGGACUGAGCUCAUCUUCUUCCCCACACUCUGUAUUCUUGAUGUAUACAGGACAAUAUAUUUUCUAUAUAGUGUCCUUUUCUUAGAGCCUCUUUAUAAAGACUGUGCCGUUGUUUCACUUGACCUUGAAAUUCUUGUCUUAGUUGAUUGUCCCAAGCAAAGACUUGGGUUUUAAACAAAGACAUUAUGUAAGCAAAGUCUUGUGGUUUGAACGUGGAAUGUCCCCCAUAGGCUCACAUGUUUUGAAUAUUUGGAGAUCCCAGCUGGUGGUGUUAAUUGGGGAGGGUAUAAAAUCUUCAGGAGUGGAAGCCUUGCUGGAACCAGUGGAUCACUGGAGAUGGACCUUGGGGCUUUAUACCCAAACUUCACUUCCUAUUUACUUUACUUUCUGCUGUGGAUGCAGUAUUACCUACUAACCAACCUCCUGCUCCUGAACCAUUGCCAUUCCUGCCUGCUUUCGUGUCUUCCCUAGCAUGAUGAACCUUGAACUGUGGACCCAAAUACUUUUUCUUUGAGUUGAAUUUAUCAAGGUAUUUUAUUAUAUGGUAACAGAAAACUUAACUAAGACUAGAUAUCUGUUAUUUGGUGCUGUUAGCAUCUGCGACUAGAUAACUUUUGGUGCCAUUGAUCUUUUUGAAGAGUUAUCCUUUAACCUGCUUUUCUAUACAGCACAAACACAAGGAAUCUAUCUGACUCAGCUAAGUUGAUUCAUUAGUGGGAAAAAGUUAGAUGUGUCAAACUUUUUAUUUAUUAUCCAUAGGCUCUGAUGUUCAGUUGUCAUUCAUCCCUGCUGUUGAUAGCUCAUGAGUUUUCUUUUUCUUUCUUUUUUUUCUUGCUCUGUCUGGCUUUUGUCGAUUUAAUCUGCCUUCUCAAAGACAGUGUUUGGUUUCUUAUUUCUCUCUGUUAUAUGGUUCUUCUCUGACCUUGUAUCUCUAGUUUGUUCACUCUUAUUGGAUUAUUGAACUUAAUUUGCCUCUUUUGUCUUUGUAAGUUCCUUUAGGAAACCGUGAUCUUUGACUUGGAAUCUUUAUUCUGUUCUAACACAUUGUUGAGUGUUUUAAUUUUUUUUUAAAGACAAGCAGUAUAUUUUUAUUAUUUAAACAUUUUAAUUUAAAUAUAUUUUUAUCAUACAUACAUACACACACAUAGCAGAGGUUGGACUGAAAGUGAGGGUAAGGCUAUAAACCCUCAAAACCUACCCUUAAUAACAUACUUCCCCUAGAAAAGCCACACCUCCUAAACCUCUCCAAACAGUGCUACCAACUAGGGACCAAGUGAAUUUUGGGGGGCACAUUUCUCUUUCAAACCACCACAAAUGUGGUGAAAUUUUGUCAACUUAGGUGUUUAGCUCAGGGAAAAUAUCUACCAAAAGCAUACGUUGAAGGAGGAUGUUUCUCACUCAAACAGCAAAUUCACUCCUUGAAGAUCCAUGCCAAGUCUUUCAAAUGUGAGGAAAAUGAAGAACAAUCAAAGGAUGGCAAUGUGGAUCAACACCUAAGUUGACAAAUUUUCCCCAGUAUUUUGGAGAGAUUCUACUGUCUUCUCUUUGCAAUAAGAAAAAAAAAUCUGUGUUAUCCUUUAAAUUUCUGUGACUUUUACUUUUUAAUAACACACACACACACACACACACACACACAAAGCUGAAGAGCUGGCUCAGCAGUUAAUAGCAAGUGCUGCUUUGUAGAGUACCUGAGUGUGGUUCUCAUCACUCCUGUCAGGCAGCUCACAACCGUCUGCAACUCCAGUUCCAAAGGAGUCUGACAUCCUCAUCUGGCCUCCAAAGCCCCCUACUCUCAUGUGCACAUAGCUCACACAUAAUUUAAAACAAAACACACAAUGUGUAAUGUACCAUCUCCGUUAGCUGCUUUUCUCACUACUGCGAUGAAGUACCCCACAGAAGCAACUUAAGGGUAGAAGGGUUUUGCUAGGUAGCAGCUCAGGGAAUGCAGUCUAUCAUAGUAUCAAGGAAUAAUGGCAGCAGUGGCUGUCAGCUAAUUCAGUGGGUAUGAUGGGGCUGGUUGCAUUUCCUCUAUAAUUAGCAAACAGAAAGAAAGAAGGACUGUGUUAUAAAUCUCAAGACCUGCCUCCCAGAAACCUAAUUCCUCCAGCUAGUUCCUGUAUCACAAAGGUUCUGCAGCCUCCCUAAACAAUGCCAACAGCUGGGGACCAAGUAUUCCCCUACAGGAGUCUAUGGAGGGACAUUUCACCUUUAAGCCAUAGCAUUUUACCUUUGGCCUCUAAGACUUAUUCAUGGCCAUCUCACAACAUGAUUAAGUUUCUAAGUCUCUACAGUUUUACUGUCCAAAGUCUAACAUCUCCUCUGACACUCAAGACAAUCUCUAACUGGGAAGCCCUGUAAAAUAAAAUUAAAAAAAAAAAAAGCUACAUACUAUUAGAAAUAAUAUCUUAACUCUAUAUGGUGCAGACAGGCAGAAGACACCCAGAGGCCUGCCAGCACAUCUGGAGACCUGCCUGCCUCGAUGCCACAACAAUGUGGGUGAGUGGAAGAAACAAUUAACAGAAAACAACGUACUCUUAACAUUACCUGCUACUUGGCUACCUCUGCCCCCCAACUGUGCUUACAAGGUCUUGUAUCUGAUAAGCUUUAAAAUAAACAUGAUGUGUGUUGUUUUAAAUACAAAAUCCCCAAUGUUCGAUUUUUACCAGUAAAGACUCAGGAGCCAGAUGCAGGGAUGAAAGCCUACCAGCUCAGAGAGGCAGAGAAAGCACCCAGUUGACCUUCCCUCUCAGCCAACAUCCCAGCAAGAAAAAGCUCCUUUUUCUUCUCCACAAUGUCUUUGCCCCUUCUUUCUGUUUCCUGUGCAUAUAUCUGUCCUCCAGACUUCCUCUCACUGUUUUUUUCUACCAAGUUCACUUCCUGUCAACUGGUUGCUUGCUCCACCUCUUGACCUAGGGCUAACUAUUCAAUCCUGUUUACAGAAACUUCUUGGAUUAAAGGUGUGUGCUAGGGCUGAGGCACACCACAACUAGAAACAAAUUUUUCUUGUAAACAUCACAAUUUCAGGGUUCACAGGGUGAUCAAAUAUCCUGUAACAGAUGCAGAACAAAGACUAAGCCUGUGUGUGGUUUUUGUUGAGAAAAAGACAAAUGUAAAUAUCAGGAGAAAAGAUAAGCUUUGGAUAACACAUCCUGAUCAUUCAAAACACGGGGUUAAAGGGUCAUGUGUGCCUGGCAUUCUGGGCUGACGUCCAGCUUUGCAGUGUUGCAAAAUAAACUGCUUCAGCUUAAA